This 358-nucleotide long non-coding RNA is filed under the name Zonotrichia albicollis (white-throated sparrow). Its description in RNAcentral is "lncRNA (ENSZALG00000014508.1)". Lineage: Eukaryota; Metazoa; Chordata; Aves; Passeriformes; Passerellidae. The record is from RNAcentral.
AUGCAGAAUAAACAGAAGCACACGAUCAAGAGUGUGUCUAACUCCUCUCUUCUGGAAAUGACGUGUCUUGAAAUGCUUGAUCUGACAGUCGCGCCCUCUCAAGAAAGAAGUAUCACAGAGGAAAGGCAAGUACAUUUAAUGAGCUCGGUUCACUGCUGGGUCACACCAGAGCAGAAGGACGAGACCUCCAUUGCUGGGAAGACCACCCAGAGAGGAGAAAGCUGCGCUUGCCCAGGAGGGAGGACAUGCAUCCUGAAAAUACUGACCUGGAAAGGGGAAACAAAUUAUACGCCAUUUCCUGUAUCAUCAUGCCAAACUUCCUGGGCUUUUCCUAGGAUCUACUUUUGUUUUAGUCAGA